This 499-nucleotide ribosomal RNA is filed under the name Thagria conica. Its description in RNAcentral is "partial large subunit ribosomal RNA". The stretch from base 373 to 499 matches the Rfam family "Bacterial large subunit ribosomal RNA", at positions 2473 to 2600 of the family's 2925-position model. Lineage: Eukaryota; Metazoa; Arthropoda; Insecta; Hemiptera; Cicadellidae. The record is from RNAcentral.
UUCUUUUAGAAAUUUUUAAAGGUAUUUUCUGCCCAAUGAUUAAUUAAAUGGCUGCAGUAUCUUGACUGUACAAAGGUAGCAUAAUAAUUAGCUUCUUAAUUAGGGGCUUGCAUGAAUGGAUAAAUGAGAAUUUAGUUAUAUUAUUUUUAUAUUUAGAAUUUUAUUUUUAAGUAAAAAAGCUUAAUUAUGUUUUUGGGACGAAAAGACCCUAAAGAACUUUAAAUUUAUUUAUAUAAAAAUCUUUUUAAUAAUAUAGAUUAAUUAAAUAUAUUUUUAUCUGGGGCGGGUUUUAAAUUUUAACUUUAUAUUUUUUUUUCAAUUGUUUUUGUUUAAAAUUGAUCCAUUUAUGAUUAGAAGUUAAGUUACCUUAGGGAUAACAGCGUAAUUUUAGUGGGGAGUUCAUAUUUAUACUAAAGUUUGCGACCUCGAUGUUGAAUUAAGAUUAUAUUAUGGGGUAGGUUUUAUAUAUAUUGGUCUGUUCGACCAUUAAAUUCUUACA